GAGAGGAAAUCCCUGUUUUAAUAUACACCACAUGCGCAACAUGACUGUGCUGCAGCCCUCGGGAGUCAUAAUUUUGAAUGUCCUGACUUUUGUGUGUUUAAAAUCUCAACUGCAGCAUUACAACUUUUUUUUUUUUUCUUUUGUUUAUUUUUCUUCAGGAAAGAAGAAAGUAUGCUUUACCAUAUAGUCAAAAAGACUCCAUGAUGAACAGUCACAUAAAUAUCAUCCACACAUUUAUGUGCAUGAUUAAGCCAUCGGACACUCAAGAAAAUAGAACUGAGUGCAUUUAUUUGAACAACCUCCAAGGUAUUUGGUGGUACAUAAAGAAAACGGUGACAGCAAGACAUGGACCUUUUUCAUUGUUUAAAACAGUGCAACUCUUGAGUAAUUCCUCUGAAACAAAUGUAAAAUGAACGAAAGAACAAGUGACACACAUCUGAAACACUUUCUGCUUUCCCCAUCCUCAUUUUACACAAAAAAGCUGCUGAUUUUAAUUCUUGGUGAUGUACAAGAUACAUUACAAAUAUGUGUCUAGACAAAGUUCAGUGCCUUAGUGGUUUGCUAGAUAUCUAACACAAGAUGGCACAGUGCCCACACAUCCUUGUUCUAUUAGGAGAUCAUGAAGCAAAACUACUUUUCAAAGAGAUAAAGAAGAAACAAAGACAAAUGGUUCUUCUGUUGUCAUGUUAUUCUUUUCCCUAAAAGUAUUUAGUAUUGCAUUGUGCACUGUGGCUUCUACAUUAACAAAAGAGCAAGAGGACAGAAUUGGUAGAGGAUUGAAUUGGUGUGGAAGACCUGAAUUCCACAGUACACACAAAGGGUUUUGUUGCUUGUUUUGUUUUUAAAAGGACUUCUGGAGGAGCUCUAGACUAGUCCCAGACGCUGAAUGCCUUACUUGUGGCUGGCAAGCAUUAGGUGCGUUCUAGGAAUCUAUUCUCCAAUUUAGUUUAACCCAAAGGAAUCUAGUCCAUAUGCUCCAAGACAAUGAGAAGCAGAGCACAGUCAGGAUGGACAGUUCAAAGUUUUGUUUCAAAAAUGAAACAAACAAGAAUUUGCACUCAAAAUUUGCAUUACAAUGUUAACAUGGGCACACACUGUGGAAGAGUGGAAAGAUGACUUGGGUUGAUGAAUGAUGCCUUCUACAUUUUUCUCAGUGAAAAGGAAUAAACUGUAGAAAAAGCACCUAAUUUUCACUUCUUCUGUGUGUGGAAGAACCUACCAUUAAUGAACCUACAAUUGGAAAAGCUUCACGAAACGAUUGCGGUGAUUGUUCCAAGGAAGCAUGUAUGAAUUCAGACAUUAGUAUUUAGACAUUAGUCCCCUGUGACUCAGAGCCAGUAUGAACCAGAGCAUCACAUGAAGCACCAUACGAGGCUCAGAAGAAUCAAACACUAAAUAAAACCAGUCUGUUUCAUAGUGUAGCAGCUCUGAAAAUCCUGGGUAAGUCUACUCUACACGUGAUAAUCUAUGGGCUAGGCACUGUUGAGUACAGUAUAUACAGCUAACAGCAUAAAUGUACUAAGAACAUCUUAGUUUCUUCAAAGGAAACUCUUAUAUGUACUCUUUAUAGGAAACUCCUGGGUAUCUGAGAAGAAAGACAAAGCCCCUUCUUGGAUCUGUAACUGCAAUGGAUGAAAGUGAAGGGAAUUCCAUGAUUGUGUCACCAGGCACACCAGUGUAAAGGAGGAACACUUGAACCAGUUCUGGAACAGUUAGGCACAGCUUCCCAAAGAAGCAAUAGCUGAUGAAAAUUGACUGCCAUUUCCAGUUUGGCAAACUGGUUUACGGAACUUGCAGACUGAAAGCCCAGAGCGUUGCUUGGUUUUGCCAGUACCUCUUUGUGACAGCCCUCAGCACCAUCACAGCCUUUUCUCUUUCUGAUCAGAAUGCUGCACAGCCCCACCAACAGCGGGAGCUUGUCAAAUAACCAGGAACUGCAGUCCCAAGCCACAGGGGACAUGAGGAGGACAGCAGAGUAACUGGAAAAAAAAAAAAGUGAUACCUCCUUGGAAUGGUACAGUGUGAGAUGAAAUGUAGUUUAAAAUAGAGUGGAAAAUAACGUUAUUUCAGUGCAAAGUGAACUGAGAGUUGCCACUUCGUCCAGCUAUCCUGCAUGUCCAUCAUUUGCCUCUAGUUACUGAGCAACAAUGAAAAAAGUUACCUGCAUUCUCUGUAUUUCAAUAAAUUAAAUUACUCAAGCGA
Molecule: long non-coding RNA, 2202 nt
Organism: Numida meleagris (helmeted guineafowl)
Lineage: Eukaryota; Metazoa; Chordata; Aves; Galliformes; Numididae
Exons: 2
Source: RefSeq, a predicted model, not a curated record